UGGGGAAUUUUGCACAAUGGGGGAAACCCUGAUGCAGCGACGCCGCGUGAUUUAGAAGGCCUUCGGGUUGUAAAAAUCUUUUGUAUAGGAAGAAAAUGACAGUACUAUACGAAUAAGGACCGGCUAAUUACGUGCCAGCAGCCGCGGUAAUACGUAAGGUCCGAGCGUUGUCCGGAAUCAUUGGGCGUAAAGGGUACGUAGGCGGGUAAGCAAGUUAGAAGUGAAAUCCUAUAGCUCAACUAUAGUAAGCUUUUAAAACUGCUCAUCUUGAGGUAUGGAAGGGAAAGUGGAAUUCCUAGUGUAGCGGUGAAAUGCGCAGAUAUUAGGAGGAAUACCGGUGGCGAAGGCGGGUCUCUGGGCCGUUACUGACGCUGAGGAGCGAAAGCGUGGGGAGCGAACAGG
RNAcentral lists this ribosomal RNA (402 nucleotides) under Bacteroidota bacterium. Its description in RNAcentral is "Bacteroidetes bacterium partial 16S ribosomal RNA". It matches the Rfam family "Bacterial small subunit ribosomal RNA", at positions 355 to 776 of the family's 1533-position model. The record is from RNAcentral. Lineage: Bacteria; Pseudomonadati; Bacteroidota.